ACAUGCAGAGAACUUUCCAGAGAUGGAUUGGUGCCUUUCGGGAACUCUGACACAGGUGCUGCAUGGCUGUGUCCAGCUCGUGUCGUGAGAUGUUGGGUUAAGUCCGUAACGAGCGCAACCCUUGUCCUUAGUUACCAGCACGUUAUGGUGGGCACUCUAAGGAGACUGCCGGUGACAAACCGGAGGAAGGUGGGGAUGACGUCAAGUCAUCAUGGCCCUUACGGCCUGGGCUACACACGUGCUACAAUGGUCGGUACAAAGGGUUGCCAAGCCGCGAGGUGGAGCUAAUCCCAUAAAACCGAUCGUAGUCCGGAUCGCAGUCUGCAACUCGACUGCGUGAGGUCGGAAUCGCUAGUAAUCGUGAAUCAGAAUGUCACGGUGAAUACGUUCCCGGGCCUU
Molecule: ribosomal RNA, 399 nt
Filed under: uncultured Pseudomonas sp.
Lineage: Bacteria; Pseudomonadati; Pseudomonadota; Gammaproteobacteria; Pseudomonadales; Pseudomonadaceae
Description: bacterial SSU rRNA
Rfam family: Bacterial small subunit ribosomal RNA
Source: RNAcentral